RNAcentral lists this small nuclear RNA (60 nucleotides) under Cervus elaphus hippelaphus. The record is from RNAcentral. RNAcentral also lists the same sequence under 1 other name. Lineage: Eukaryota; Metazoa; Chordata; Mammalia; Artiodactyla; Cervidae.
GUGCUGGCUUGGGCAGCACAUACACUAAAAUUGGAACAAUACAGAGAAGAUUAGCACAGC